Molecule: long non-coding RNA, 1288 nt
Filed under: Androctonus crassicauda
Lineage: Eukaryota; Metazoa; Arthropoda; Arachnida; Scorpiones; Buthidae
Source: RNAcentral
AAUUAAUUCUUAAUUUAGAUCGGUACCUUUUACAUAAUAAUUACUGUCUCCCCGGUUUGUGUCGUAAUGUACAGUUAUAAUUAAGUGAACUAUAAUAAUAAUAAUAAUAAUCCAGAAUGGAAGAAAAACUGACAGCAUCGAUCAUGCAGUGGUUAUUGAUCAUCUAAUACAUUUUCAGAACCUAAGUUCCAUUUACUGUUGCAUCCUUCAGAUAUGGAAGUGAGAUAGCACUUUUCCUAUUGCGAUUGGUAGUAGAAAGGAUUACGGAUGAACCGAAUGUAUCAUCCGACGUCACUAAUCAUUCCAGAUUCAGUUACAUAAAUGCCUCCAUUCUUUCUCGCUGCUCCAAUUUUAGUAUUCAUAAAUUACGGUCGAAAGUUUUUGCCGAGUAAUUUCACCUUCCCACUUGUCGAAAUUUAGAAAAUAUCGAAAGUACUCGGUAAAAUUAUCGACAGAUUGAAGUAACCAGACCCAAGCAAUAACGCUGGUUUUAGUUUUUUAAUUUGGGAAAGCGGACGUUGGUAAGAGGUAUUUAUCAUGGCGAGGGCGAGAAAAUAUAUACUGAUUGCAGUCGGAAAUUAAAAAUAAUUGUUUAAUAACUGUUGAUAAACUGCUAUUAGUGUAAACAUAGUCGGGAAGUUUUGGUGCAGCCGCCAACUGCCGAACGAAUUGCUGGCGGUGAGGAAGAAAUAUCUGUUCUCUUUUAAAUGAUUAUUUUAUUAUUUUUUAAAUUUUUGAUGCGUUUAAUUUUGUUCGGAGACUACCGUCUGUCAACAUGUACGCAUUCGAUUCUGUAGUUGGUUUUUAUGUAAUGACAGGAAUAAGAAAUCACCGACAAAUAGCUGUCUUGAUUUGGUUUGGUGUGGCUUACACAAUCCCAUUUCACGUCGAACUCGACAAGAAAUUGCAUUUUGCUAGUUGCCUUUUUCCCCUUUUUUUUCCUUCCUCUUCAGCCUCGCCUCUGUUAUAUUAUCCCGGAUACGAGUUAAUAACUAGCGAAAGAACUGACUGGAAAAGUAAAAUUAAGAGGGGGGAAAAUAGGAUGAAGAAAUAAAAAUCGGAGCGUAAAGUUUCUAAAGAUUUCUCUCCGAUGUGGUUACGUCGCUACCGACUGGCUUUUGACGAGGAAAGGAUCAGGGAGGGGAGCAUCGGUUGUGCGCGCAAAUCUGCUAAUUGAUUCGUAGUAGCCAGCCGUCGAUUCUGAAUUACACUUCCGAGUUGACUCCAUACCUCGCUGUAAACUAAAUCGAAUCCUAUUAACGUAUUUCUUUGCCGAAAAAAUUUUAAA